CCGUUCUCAUUGGGGAGCCUGGGCAAAUGCACCGGGCUGAGAUUGCCAACGCAAGACCCACUGAACCUGAUCCAGUUAGUACUGGCGUAGGAAUUGAGACCACGAUAAUU
Molecule: non-coding RNA, 110 nt
Filed under: Photobacterium aquae
Lineage: Bacteria; Pseudomonadati; Pseudomonadota; Gammaproteobacteria; Vibrionales; Vibrionaceae
Description: TPP sequence
Rfam family: TPP riboswitch aptamer (THI element)
About the family: Vitamin B(1) in its active form thiamin pyrophosphate (TPP) is an essential coenzyme that is synthesised by coupling of pyrimidine and thiazole moieties in bacteria.
Source: RNAcentral